Molecule: long non-coding RNA, 1376 nt
Filed under: Chloebia gouldiae (Gouldian finch)
Lineage: Eukaryota; Metazoa; Chordata; Aves; Passeriformes; Passeridae
Description: Erythrura gouldiae (Gouldian finch) lncRNA (ENSEGOG00005007935.1)
Source: RNAcentral
UAAUUUUUUUGCUCCAAGGAAGAGUUUUACUGUAGCAGAUUGAAUUUUGUUACUAGUACAAACUUUUUACAGUUUGGAUUCAAUUAUAAGAAACAAAACUUGGAGAACUGACAUUUGUUUGGCUAUUUCCCAGACUGUUGGUUUGACAGUUUUUUUUAAGUCAUGGUCACGGAAGUGUUUGUCCUAUAUUUCUUAUUUUGGAAAGGAAGCCCAUCUCAUGGUAUAUAAAACUCAGCAUGGAAAAGAGGCUGAGCUGUCAAGAGCAACCAGACAUUUACUGGGCAAAGAAGAAACAGUGUUGAAGAAAGAAAUGCCAGAAGUGAAGAAGGGAAGAGGAGAGGAGCACUAAAGAAAAAACUAAUUCAUGAAUUUUCAUGUUUAUGAGCUCAUUCUGGAAAACAGGGCUACAAAGAACACCUCCCUCAACUGCAAGUGCAACAUGCAACUGUGUGAAAUCCCUUGUGUGACUGAAGCACCUCCAGCACACAAAGCUCUUGCAAAUACCCUGCAGAGAGGCAGCUCAGUGCACAAGAAUAUCUAUUCUCCUACCUGAACAGGCUCUCAGGUGCUGGAAAGCACGAAGCUGAAACACCUGCAUGCUUAGCAGGAAUUGUCUGUAUGACUGUAUGUAUACCUUACAUGAGUAUAAAGGUGUUCUUCAGCCAUUUCUAGGAUGACUACAUUGUAAAAUGUUUGCAUUUGAGUAGCUAUCAUUUAAUCUUUAGGAUCAAAAGAAGGGGCAGAAUUUCAUUGCCUGAACAGCCAUGAGAAUUUUGCAGCCCAGUGAAGAGUUCACCACAUACCUUCUCCUUCACUGGCCUCUGCGUGCGGUGGCAGCUGGUCUGUCAGCUCCUCUGACUAUUGUUUGUUUGUUCAGUCCUUUGGGAUCCAUCUUUUAUGUCAGGCUACUCUUAUCUACAGGAACAUCAGAAACAUCAAUUCCCCCACCAUGAGGAUCCAGAAAACAGAAAGGUAAAGGAAGCUAUACUUUACAUCCCAUCAUGAAUUUAAGCACUCUAGUGUAUUAUCAGGCAGGCAAAUUAAUUUCAGCUGUAAUCACAGAGCCAGAUUACAUAAUUGUUUUCAAAAUUUCCCAAUAUAAGGAAGUUUUAGCAAUGAAAAAUAGCAAAAUAACAUUUGGAACUGGUCUGGGAAGAUAGGACCAAGGAAUGUCUGAGACAGGAGACACGUUAGAGCCUGUAAGAAUCAUGCAAAGGGCUGUCAGAGUCAGAGUAGCAAACACCCUUUGGACUCCUGAAUCUAGGAGCUAAAAUAGCAGUACACAAACCAGUUGCUUUGAUGGUCAGUGCUUUAUUGCUUUCUUUUAUUUAUUCUUUGUUUCCAAAGCUUAUACUGAAAUUAAAUGCUUCAGAAAC